Molecule: ribosomal RNA, 253 nt
Filed under: uncultured bacterium
Lineage: Bacteria
Description: partial 16S ribosomal RNA
Rfam family: Bacterial small subunit ribosomal RNA
Source: RNAcentral
UACGUAGGGUGCGAGCGUUGUCCGGAAUUAUUGGGCGUAAGGGGCUCGUAGGCGGUUUGUCGCGUCGGGAGUGAAAACCUUGGGCUUAACUCAGGGCUUGCUUUCGAUACGGGCAGACUAGAGGUAUGCAGGGGAGAACGGAAUUCCUGGUGUAGCGGUGAAAUGCGCAGAUAUCAGGAGGAACACCGGUGGCGAAGGCGGCAUCCUGGACCGGCAUUGACGCUGAGGAGCGAAAGCUAGGGGAGCAAACGGG